CCUACGGGAGGCAGCAGUGAGGAAUAUUGGUCAAUGGGCGAGAGCCUGAACCAGCCAAGUCGCGUGAGGGAGUACUGCCCUAUGGGUUGUAAACCUCUUUUGUCGGGGAGCAAAAGCCGGACGUGUCCGGCUGUUAGAUUGCCGGUAGAAAAAGCAUCAGCUAACUCCGUGCCCGCGGCCGCGGUAGUACUGAGGAUGCGAACGUUAUCCGGAUUUAUUGGGUUAAAAGGGUGCGCAGGCGGAUUUUUAAGUCAGCGGUCAAAUCGUGGGGCUCAACCCCAUCCAGCCGUUGAAACUGGGGAUCUAGAGUGUGCGAGAGGUAUGCGGAAUGCGUGGUGUAGCGGUGAAAUGCAUAGAUAUCACGCAGAACACCGAUUGCGAAGGCAGCAUACCGGUGCACAACUGACGCUCAGGCACGAAAGCGUGGGUAUCGAACAGGAUUAGAUACCCUUGUAGUC
Molecule: ribosomal RNA, 458 nt
Filed under: uncultured bacterium
Lineage: Bacteria
Description: partial 16S ribosomal RNA
Rfam family: Bacterial small subunit ribosomal RNA
Source: RNAcentral